Oncorhynchus masou masou (cherry salmon) is the source of this 556-nucleotide long non-coding RNA. RefSeq lists it as uncharacterized. NCBI's taxonomy places the organism in Eukaryota, Metazoa, Chordata, Actinopteri, Salmoniformes, Salmonidae. The record is from RefSeq and is a predicted model, not a curated record. The transcript is spliced from 3 exons.
AAGGGAGACAACGUGGAGAUAAGGAAUAACAAAAUAUAUUUAUAAACUAAGGUAACCUAUAUACAAAUAAACAACAGUGUGUCUACAUGGAGAGAGUCUCCCAAUGAAUGUGGAAGAGGUCUAUUUCUCCUGGGACACACCCGGGCCCAGGUGUUUCCCAUGUCGCUGACGACAUGCUCCCAGCUCCCCGCUCCGCCCACCGGCAUCCUAAUAAGGAAACAAGAGCAAAGAGAGAGAAUACGGCAGACAGAGUGGGAGGGUCGUCACAUUCUCAACUAGCUUACCUGGUUAAAUAAAGGGACUGUGUUUGUACCCGUCUCUCAGGCCAAUGCACACACAAACAGUCAACUUAAUUACAGAGAACCAGAGAAAGGGGGAGGAAGAGGACAAAGAGCAGUGAGGGAUCUCACUUGAGGGUUUGCGGUUCAGAGGGGAGAGGAGAGAGGGAAAAGCCAGGGAGAGGCGCUCCUCAUAAUGGCCUCUCCGAUCUCUUUGGCACCAAGGCCCACGACCAUAAAACACUGCAUGGAUCAGAGGAGCACCAGUCAGAAAGAUG